CUCCUUCGCCCUGUUGCCUAUUGCCCUUGAAGCCGAAACUUUCUUCUGUUUGUCUUCCACGGUUUUGUUAGCUUUGCUUGGUUGGCUUAAUGAAGGAGACUUGGACGCGGUCAUCUUCGGUUCCUGUUAUUCCACUUAAGUGAGUUUCGAGGUGGCUGAGUCGUUCUUGUGGUAGAAGCUUGGCAAAGGCAAUGCUUUGAAUGUGGAGCUCUUCCCAAGUGCUCCAGUACUCGCUCCCUCGGUUACAUUCUUCUGCAUCGAUAUGUAUGCUUAAGGUUGGUGCUUCUCCUGAAGGAGGGGUGAAACCUCAACAGCUUCUGCCUUUCCUUCCAUAUCUGCAUAGGAUUUGAAGAAGGAGAAUUUAUAAGAACUCCGGAUAUAUGCAAACAUCAUCUUUUUCAGUUUUUCCUUUCAAUUGAUUAGCUAUCUGCCAGGGACUCUGCGGGACACAUAAAUGAAAGAGGAACUGCUAUCGAUUGGACUAGCUAGCUAUAGCACAAUAUUCAGUGUUGAAGCAUUAUCCAUCUAGAAGCUUGAGUUCCAAGAAAAGGCAACCACUGAAAGAGACAGCUAAUCUCAACACCCCAACUUUGCUGAGACUAGAAAACUCUCGUUGGUAUACAAUCGGCGAGAUAGAAAAGCAGGAGACUAAAGUUAAGCAGCAGGAUACCUUGCGGCUCUCCGUUGAUCAUGUUUCCGGGUUCCAUGUUGUUCUUCACUGCUUGUUAAGUGACCAAGUAAGUGGGAUAACAAAUAAAUAUACCAGUUCUUCAGAUUCCGGUCAACUUGUUAAAUAAUAUAGUAUUGGUCCAACAACUGAUCACUGAUUAAUUUACUCGACCAAUUACGAGAUUUGGUAUCCCAAAAUUGCUGCAAAUGGAAGCAGGGGAAGAAAACUCACCAAAUCAAGCAUUCAAAACAACCAGGAGAUCGAGAUCCGGACACGGGAUCUCCUGAAAUGUCUUGAUUACAUAUGGAUGUAUGCGAAUUGGUUUACCGAUACCAUAUGGUACCCAGACCAGAACUAUAUCAUGGCCAAAAAGGCCGAAGCAGAAGAACCCGGUUGUUCCGCCUCAGUUCUUUGCCUUGUUCCCACACCGGGGCUAGCACUCAGCACGGUUGGGUUUGAUCUUGUACUAUUGACAAUGUUGUGCAUAAGGAAACCUGAACAUAACGGAAUUCAGUUUUUCUUUUUUUCAGCCCA
This is a non-coding RNA of Punica granatum (pomegranate), 1204 nucleotides long. The record is from RefSeq and is a predicted model, not a curated record. NCBI's taxonomy places the organism in Eukaryota, Viridiplantae, Streptophyta, Magnoliopsida, Myrtales, Lythraceae.